CACGAGCCUUGGCGCCGGCGCGAGACUCAGAAAACCAACUUGCUCCGGCCAUCUGCUUCUGAAGAAGGCAAAAUACAUAAGAACUUAAAUCUUACUUGCAUACGAAGAUAAUGGCCAGAAGAAGUGGAUGCCGGCAAGCUAGAUCUGUGAAUGGAAACACACAAAAGAUAGCAAGAGUAAAGAAAGAGUGCAACAAGAGGAGAAAAUCAAUAA
Long non-coding RNA from Sinocyclocheilus rhinocerous, 213 nucleotides. RefSeq lists it as uncharacterized. The record is from RefSeq and is a predicted model, not a curated record. Lineage: Eukaryota; Metazoa; Chordata; Actinopteri; Cypriniformes; Cyprinidae. The transcript is spliced from 4 exons.